RNAcentral lists this ribosomal RNA (301 nucleotides) under uncultured bacterium. RNAcentral's name for it is "partial 16S ribosomal RNA". It matches the Rfam family "Bacterial small subunit ribosomal RNA", at positions 509 to 807 of the family's 1533-position model. The record is from RNAcentral.
CAGCAGCCGCGGUAAUACGGAGGGUGCAAGCGUUAAUCGGAAUUACAGGGCGUAAAGAGCUCGUAGGCGGUCUGUCGCGUCUGCUGUGAAAACUGGGGGCUCAACCCCCAGCCUGCAGUGGGUACGGGCAGACUAGAGUGCGGUAGGGGAGAUUGGAACUCCUGGUGUAGCGGUGGAAUGCGCAGAUAUCAGGAAGAACACCGAUGGCGAAGGCAGAUCUCUGGGCCGUAACUGACGCUGAGGAGCGAAAGCAUGGGGAGCAAACAGGAUUAGAUACCCCAGUAGUCCCUGUCUCUUAUAC